This 253-nucleotide ribosomal RNA is filed under the name uncultured bacterium. RNAcentral describes it as "partial 16S ribosomal RNA". It matches the Rfam family "Bacterial small subunit ribosomal RNA", at positions 524 to 776 of the family's 1533-position model. The record is from RNAcentral.
UACGUAGGGGGCAAGCGUUGUCCGGAUUUAUUGGGCGUAAAGAGCGUGUAGGCGGCUGGGUAGGUCCGUUGUGAAAACUCGAGGCUCAACCUCGAGACGCCGAUGGAAACCCUCCAGCUAGAGUCCGGAAGAGGAGAGUGGAAUUCCGAGUGUAGCAGUGAAAUGUGUAGAUAUUCGGAAGAACACCAGCGGCGAAGGCAGCGGGUUGGCGCUUUAUUGACGCUCAGGCACGAAAGCAUGGGGAUCAAACAGG